This 334-nucleotide small nucleolar RNA is filed under the name Kluyveromyces marxianus. Its description in RNAcentral is "U3Kf snoRNA". It matches the Rfam family "Fungal small nucleolar RNA U3". From Rfam's summary of the family: Small nucleolar RNAs (snoRNAs) are involved in the processing and modification of rRNA in the nucleolus. There are two main classes of snoRNAs: the box C/D class, and the box H/ACA class. The record is from RNAcentral. Lineage: Eukaryota; Fungi; Ascomycota; Saccharomycetes; Saccharomycetales; Saccharomycetaceae.
GUCGACGUACUUCAUAGGAUCAUUUCUAUAGGUUUCGUCUCUUCUUGACUCUUCUAAAGAGCCACUGAUUCCAACUUGGUUGAUGAGAUAGAACCCCCAUACCCUCAAAGUGAGAUUAAUGAGGCUGCACUUGUGCAGCUUUAUAGUGAACCAUCAUUACAGUUUUGCCUACGAUUCUUAGCAAUCUAGUCACCUGGAUGGUUUGCGAUCCCAAACUUUCACUUUUUAUUCCUUUUUUCAUCAGGUAAAUAAAGGAGCAAUGAUCUUUGUCCCUGUGUAUGGACUUCUUCGGAAGUGAUACGUUGGGAUGGGAAUGGGUGGCAGUCUGACAAGU